ACAUGCCUACAACAUAGUGUUAAUGCACCGGGUCCCAUUAGAACUCUGCAGUUAAGCGUGCUCGGGCUAGAGUAGUACUGGUAUGGGUGACCACUUAGGAAGUCCUAGUAUUUUACAUGCC
This is a non-coding RNA of Picea glauca (white spruce), 121 nucleotides long. NCBI's taxonomy places the organism in Eukaryota, Viridiplantae, Streptophyta, Pinopsida, Pinales, Pinaceae. The record is from Rfam.